CGGCAUGCCUAACACAUGCAAGUCGAACGAAGUCUUCGGACUUAGUGGCGCACGGGUGCGUAACGCGUGGGAAUCUGCCCUUGGGUACGGAAUAACUCAGAGAAAUUUGUGCUAAUACCGUAUAAUGUCUUCGGACCAAAGAUUUAUCGCCCAAGGAUGAGCCCGCGUAAGAUUAGCUAGUUGGUGAGGUAAGAGCUCACCAAGGCGACGAUCUUUAGCUGGUCUGAGAGGAUGAUCAGCCACACUGGGACUGAGACACGGCCCAGACUCCUACGGGAGGCAGCAGUGGGGAAUAUUGGACAAUGGGCGAAAGCCUGAUCCAGCAAUGCCGCGUGAGUGAUGAAGGCCUUAGGGUUGUAAAGCUCUUUUACCCGGGAUGAUAAUGACAGUACCGGGA
This 397-nucleotide ribosomal RNA is filed under the name alpha proteobacterium BAL247. Its description in RNAcentral is "bacterial SSU rRNA". It matches the Rfam family "Bacterial small subunit ribosomal RNA", at positions 40 to 483 of the family's 1533-position model. The record is from RNAcentral. Lineage: Bacteria; Pseudomonadati; Pseudomonadota; Alphaproteobacteria.